UACAGAGGAGCCAAGCGUUGUCCGGAUUGACUGGGCGUAAAGCGCACGCAGGCGGUCGUGCGCGUGGGGUGUGAAAUCUGGCCGCUUAACGGCCAGGCGCCAUCCCAUACGGCACGACUGGAGGGCUGCAGAGGUCGAUGGAAUUGCCGGUGUAGUGGUGAAAUGCGUAGAGAUCGGCAGGAACACCCAGGGGGAAACCAGUCGACUGGGCAGUACCUGACGCUGAGGUGCGAGAGCGUGGGGAGCGAACCGG
RNAcentral lists this ribosomal RNA (253 nucleotides) under uncultured bacterium. RNAcentral describes it as "partial 16S ribosomal RNA". It matches the Rfam family "Bacterial small subunit ribosomal RNA", at positions 524 to 776 of the family's 1533-position model. The record is from RNAcentral.